This 75-nucleotide small RNA is filed under the name Xanthomonas nasturtii. RNAcentral's name for it is "sX9 sRNA". It matches the Rfam family "Xanthomonas sRNA sX9". Lineage: Bacteria; Pseudomonadati; Pseudomonadota; Gammaproteobacteria; Lysobacterales; Lysobacteraceae. The record is from RNAcentral.
AUGACCACACGUGCACCACAAUUCUGAGCGCGACGGACGCACCCACCUGACGGCUGCGCGUUACGUUUGUUAGCC